UGAGGAAUAUUGGGUCAAUGGGCGAGAGCCUGAACCAGCCAAGUCGCGUGAGGGAAGACGGUCCUAUGGAUUGUAAACCUCUUUUGCCGGGGAGCAAAGAGCGGCACGUGUGCCGCGCCGAGAGUACCCGGAGAAAAAGCAUCGGCUAACUCCGUGCC
RNAcentral lists this ribosomal RNA (158 nucleotides) under uncultured bacterium. Its description in RNAcentral is "partial 16S ribosomal RNA". It matches the Rfam family "Bacterial small subunit ribosomal RNA", at positions 355 to 509 of the family's 1533-position model. The record is from RNAcentral.